AGUGAACGCUGGCGGUAGGCCUAACACAUGCAAGUCGAACGGCAGCACAGUAAGAGCUUGCUCUUACGGGUGGCGAGUGGCGGACGGGUGAGGAAUACAUCGGAAUCUACUUUUUCGUGGGGGAUAACGUAGGGAAACUUACGCUAAUACCGCAUACGACCUACGGGUGAAAGCAGGGGAUCUUCGGACCUUGCGCGAUUGAAUGAGCCGAUGUCGGAUUAGCUAGUUGGCGGGGUAAAGGCCCACCAAGGCGACGAUCCGUAGCUGGUCUGAGAGGAUGACCAGCCACACUGGAACUGAGACACGGUCCAGACUCCUACGGGAGGCAGCAGUGGGGAAUAUUGGACAAUGGGCGCAAGCCUGAUCCAGCCAUACCGCGUGGGUGAAGAAGGCCUUCGGGUUGUAAAGCCCUUUUGUUGGGAAAGAAAAGCAGCAGGUUAAUACCCCGCUGUUCUGACGGUACCCAAAGAAUAAGUACCGGCUAACUUCGUG
This 492-nucleotide ribosomal RNA is filed under the name uncultured bacterium. RNAcentral describes it as "partial 16S ribosomal RNA". It matches the Rfam family "Bacterial small subunit ribosomal RNA", at positions 29 to 507 of the family's 1533-position model. The record is from RNAcentral.